This is a non-coding RNA of Schizosaccharomyces pombe (fission yeast), 345 nucleotides long. The record is from the annotation of a GenBank genome assembly. NCBI's taxonomy places the organism in Eukaryota, Fungi, Ascomycota, Schizosaccharomycetes, Schizosaccharomycetales, Schizosaccharomycetaceae.
CUUUCUCGUCGUGCAAUUGUUCAGGAGCAUAAUUUCGCUUUUGCCUGAGUAUGAUAUCGUAGUAAAAUUGAAAUGUAAAGCGAUCUUAAUGAAGCUAUUUCAUUAGCGAUGCUGUGUAUGCUCAUAUUAGAUUGUUCUCAAACGACAUUUUACGAACCUUAAAAAUCUUAAGAAAUGUUUGAUUGCAGAAGAACAGUGAAGCAACUUAUGUGUAUAUACGCAUCAUGUUGAAUUUGUCACGAAGUUUUGAACAAAGAAAAAUCCCAUCAUGUUUUUAAUCUUGAGAAACACAAUAUUGACAGGUAUAUUGGUGUUUCAAUGAACACGAUAUGUUGGUGAAGCACU